UUUGAGGGGAAUGUUGUCUGGCUCGAGGACUCUGGCUCGCUCUUUUCAUGUUUUGGAUCUUCUUCGAUCUAAUCUUUGAACUGAACCUCCAGAUUUCAGAUCUGAUCUGAUUAGGGUUUUAGUGUCGUCGGACCAGGCUUCAUUCCCCCCAAU
This 153-nucleotide microRNA precursor is filed under the name Capsella rubella. RNAcentral describes it as "mir-166 microRNA precursor family". It matches the Rfam family "mir-166 microRNA precursor family". From Rfam's summary of the family: This family represents the plant microRNA (miRNA) precursor mir-166. The record is from Rfam by way of RNAcentral. Lineage: Eukaryota; Viridiplantae; Streptophyta; Magnoliopsida; Brassicales; Brassicaceae.